Long non-coding RNA from Peromyscus eremicus (cactus mouse), 811 nucleotides. RefSeq lists it as uncharacterized. NCBI's taxonomy places the organism in Eukaryota, Metazoa, Chordata, Mammalia, Rodentia, Cricetidae. The transcript is spliced from 2 exons. The record is from RefSeq and is a predicted model, not a curated record.
AGGCAGGAGGGAGGUCCUGGCCAUCAAGAGUCAGAGAGUGUGCCCCAGUAAGGGUUCUGUACCUGGAGGCACACCUCUGUUUCCCCGAGGCUUGCACAGGCCUAGGCCAGAAAUGCUGGCUCAUGCUGCCUGAGGCCCAGCAGAAAGAAAGGGAGGACUCAGCUGCCCCCUGCUGGUCACAGCUGAGCCGGCUGCUUCUCUCAGGGCACAAGAAAGGGUUCAUCCAUCCCUUGGCACUGGACUUGCUGCUGCAAACCGAACCUGUGAGACCCGGCUCAGCCCUGUGUCUCAGCUCUGGAUGCAGCUGGGUAUUUUUGUCCCAGCAACAAGACAAGUAACCAAUCAAAUGGCCAAACGCAACUGAAGCUAUCCAGGUGCUGACUACAGGGACAGCACCCUGUCCCAGCAUCAUCACAAGGCCCCAAAUCACAGAAAGAUUGGCGAAUGGAAGGUCAGAGUAUGUGAUGUAAGGACCGUCUGUCAGCACUAAGUCUAAGAAUGGAGGGGCCAACAGCAAAGGCAUGCAGUGUCUCAGACACUGGAGUUAACUAACAGUGCCCUAGAGCCUCAGGAAGACGUGCUCCCUGCCCACACCUUCAGUCAGCUCAUCAAGACUGUGCUUUCCAACCUGCAUAAUUAUGAGGUAAUGAAAGGCUGGACUGAGCCACUGUGGGAAUGGUGAUGUCACAGUGGCAACAGGAAAUUGACUCUGGUGGCAGGGAACUGUUGUGGAAUAUUAGUUUAAGAUGUUACAUUCAUUUACGCUGUGGAACAUUUGUUUAAUGCUGCAAAGACGUGUUGCAUUCUUUUA